GUUCUUUUAUCUGCUACCAUAAAUCUAGUCAAAGGAAGGAUUUUAAAGCUUUUGUUCAGCUUGCUCCAUUUUUAGUGAAAAGGGGCUGGAUAUGAGCAGGUAGUACAACUUUAGUGUAUGCUAGCAGAGGUUUCCAGAGACCAAAAGAAAACAAAAAAUGCAGCACAAUUUGCAAACUGAAGACAAUAUAAGGAUGCAUGGUGUUCCAACUGAGUACACAAAAGAGUUAAUCAAGCAAGACAAACAGUGGAGGAAAUAUUCCAUGGAAGAAUUCAGAGUUUUGUGUGUGGAAACCAAACUGAAAAUAAUGAUGG
Long non-coding RNA from Mytilus trossulus (common blue mussel), 314 nucleotides. RefSeq lists it as uncharacterized. The transcript is spliced from 4 exons. The record is from RefSeq and is a predicted model, not a curated record. NCBI's taxonomy places the organism in Eukaryota, Metazoa, Mollusca, Bivalvia, Mytilida, Mytilidae.